This 675-nucleotide ribosomal RNA is filed under the name Phania funesta. RNAcentral's name for it is "eukaryotic LSU rRNA". It matches the Rfam family "Eukaryotic large subunit ribosomal RNA", at positions 250 to 790 of the family's 3401-position model. The record is from RNAcentral. Lineage: Eukaryota; Metazoa; Arthropoda; Insecta; Diptera; Tachinidae.
GGCGUUUCCAAAGAGUCGUGUUGCUUGAUAGUGCAGCACUAAGUGGGUGGUAAACUCCAUCUAAAACUAAAUAUAACCAUGAGACCGAUAGUAAACAAGUACCGUGAGGGAAAGUUGAAAAGAACUCUGAAUAGAGAGUUAAAUAGUACGUGAAACUGCUUAGAGGUUAAGCCCGAUGAACCUAAAUAUCCCAUUAUGGAAAACUCAUCGUUAUGAUUUUAAUAUUUUACAAAUAUUAUGAUAAUGGUGUGCAUUUUUUCUAUAAAGGACAUUGUAAUCUAUUAAUACAAAAAAAAAAAAUUUAUCAUAAGAUCAUUAUGCACAGGUUUAUUCGAAUUAAUUUUCUUGCAAUUUUAACAUAGAAUAAACGCUCUUGAUUUGAUAAAGUGUUAAUAGAUUUAUUAUGUAAUAUAGUGCUUAAAUAUAUAUAUAUAUUUUAUGAUAGUAUUAUUAUCAUUGAUUUUGAUGCUUAUCAUAUGCACUUAUAUGAUUAACAAUGCGAAAGAUUUAGGAUACCUUCGGGACCCGUCUUGAAACACGGACCAAGGAGUCUAACAUAUUUGCAAGUUAUUGGGAAUGUGAAAACUUAAUAGCAAAAUUAACAUGACUUUUACAAAUAAAUGGGAUUAGUUUUUGUAGCCUAUUUUUAUAUAAAAUAGACUUAUUAAUUCAAUC